This 320-nucleotide ribosomal RNA is filed under the name uncultured bacterium. RNAcentral's name for it is "bacterial SSU rRNA". It matches the Rfam family "Bacterial small subunit ribosomal RNA", at positions 28 to 334 of the family's 1533-position model. The record is from RNAcentral.
GACGAACGCUGGCGGCGUGCCUAAUACAUGCAAGUCGAACGAACGGAUUGAGGAGCUUGCUCUUCAUGAAGUUAGUGGCGGACGGGUGAGUAACACGUGGGUAACCUGCCCUUCAGUGGGGGAUAACAUCCGGAAACGGGUGCUAAUACCGCAUAUUUCUAAUCGUCUCCUGACGAAUGGAAGAAAGGUGGCUUCGGCUACCGCUUAUGGAUGGACCCGCGGCGUAUUAGCUAGUUGGUGAGGUAAUGGCUCACCAAGGCGAUGAUACGUAGCCGACCUGAGAGGGUGAUCGGCCACACUGGGACUGAGACACGGCCCAG